This 87-nucleotide transfer RNA is filed under the name Candidatus Uhrbacteria bacterium CG10_big_fil_rev_8_21_14_0_10_48_11. Its description in RNAcentral is "tRNA-Leu". It matches the Rfam family "tRNA". From Rfam's summary of the family: Transfer RNA (tRNA) molecules are approximately 80 nucleotides in length. Their secondary structure includes four short double-helical elements and three loops (D, anti-codon, and T loops). Further hydrogen bonds mediate the characteristic L-shaped molecular structure. tRNAs have two regions of fundamental functional importance: the anti-codon, which is responsible for specific mRNA codon recognition, and the 3' end, to which the tRNAs corresponding amino acid is attached (by aminoacyl-tRNA synthetases). tRNAs cope with the degeneracy of the genetic code in two manners: having more than one tRNA (with a specific anti-codon) for a particular amino acid; and 'wobble' base-pairing, i.e. permitting non-standard base-pairing at the 3rd anti-codon position. The record is from RNAcentral. Lineage: Bacteria; Candidatus Uhriibacteriota.
GCAGGCGUGGCGGAAUUGGUAUACGCGUACGCUUCAGGAGCGUAUGAGAGCAAUCUCGUGAGGGUUCGAGUCCCUCCGCCUGCACCA